AGAUGGGAAGUUUUGGUUUCGCAUCUAGGUUUCGAUUUACUGGAGAUGACGUGUGGUCACGGCUGCUUUGGCGGAAGAUCAGCCAUCUUGACCCAACUUGGGAUGUCCGCCAUUUUGGGUGCCCCCGUCUCUCAGCCUGACCAACAUUCAUUCCGACCUUUUGUUUUAUGUAAUAGCGUGAGGGGCCUCGACUCUAUUCUGGCUACUUCCUGCUGACGGUUGGGCGUCGUCAUAGGGGUGGUGGGAGGUGGGCAGGCGAGAGUAGGGCUGUAGGAAGAGUUGAUUCACUGAAACUCGCGUCAUCUCUCAAAGGCGUUCUGCAGAUAUCUAACAAGGCAGGGAGCAACCGAGAUUAGGAACAGGAUUAAGCACAGGGGUCCCGCUAGGGGGAGGAGGCAAGUUACCCCAGUGCGGGGGUCUGGACCCCAUAGGUGGGAAUCCUGGCGUCUGGACUGUAUCCGGUCUCUGAGUUCAAGAAUUCUGGAGUUGGGAUGGUGAGGAUGACCGUAUGCAGUCCUGACCAACGUGGCUGCAGGGAUCCUGGCCACAAGUCGCUGAGGAGGACCUGAGCUCCAGGGAACAGGGUUUGAACGGGGACCUCCCUCUAGUCAUGGUCGUCUGGAGCAGGGUUCGAGGCAGUCCAAAUCUUGGGAUGAUGUGUUCGAUGAGGACCGUGGCCACAAUAUCCACCAUCUCUCGGGCUGUGAGAUAUGCCUCAAUCUACCCACUGCACCUGAGGUGACCACUACCUUAGGGUCAUGGACAGAAACGGAGGUCACCGUGAGGAUGAGGACAUCUCCUGAUCCCCAGGGACCUGCGGAGAGCCACCCGGUGGCCCGGCAGAGGUGCCCUGGCGCGGCCGAGGCUUCAGGCAGGACCACCCGGACGGAGGCAGGGAAUCAGGGAACUUACCCGGUGUUUCCAGGCGCUGGGUUCAGGUCCUGGUGAUGAGAGGAGAGAGGCUCCCCACCAGCGUGGGGCCUCGAUCCCCUCCCCAGGUUUCAGCUGAGGCCCUGGUGGCGAGAGGAGAGAGGCCCCCUCCUGGAGCGAGGCCUUAAUCUCCUCCCGGGUUUCGGCACCAAAUGGACAGUUUUUUAGGGGAAUGAAGGAGACCCCAAGGCAAAAUGACCUGUAGGAUGAGCUUUAUUGCCAGCAUCCUCGGGUGAGAUUCCGCUACUCGACAGAGGAGAGUCAGGGAAGUCGGGCCCGGGUUGGGGAGU
Molecule: long non-coding RNA, 1220 nt
Organism: Canis lupus familiaris (dog)
Lineage: Eukaryota; Metazoa; Chordata; Mammalia; Carnivora; Canidae
Exons: 4
Source: RefSeq, a predicted model, not a curated record